RNAcentral lists this ribosomal RNA (312 nucleotides) under Triticum aestivum (bread wheat). RNAcentral's name for it is "partial small subunit ribosomal RNA". The record is from RNAcentral. Lineage: Eukaryota; Viridiplantae; Streptophyta; Magnoliopsida; Poales; Poaceae.
AUGACCGAUGCUUCAAGGAAUUACACGCGCGGCACCGGGGAAGCAGUAGCAUGGAGCUUGUACAGGCUACAGCUGAUGCUCUGUUGGUGGCUGGAGGUGUCGCGCGGAGACACGGCAGUGAUGCUGGUGAAAGUUGGGAUGGAAGUGAUGGCGUGGUUCUUUCAGGGAAUCAAGCAACCCAAUUCAGAUUUAUUGACGCAAAUCAACGACUUGCUAGGCGGCUUAUCUUUUUCUAAGAUCAGUCGGCUGACGCCUAGCAGCGGCCUUUACUUAUUCCUACUACUACUACUUGAACUAGAGUUCCUAGUUUAA